GGGGUGCAGCAGGCGCGAAAACUUUGCAAUACACGAAAGUGUGACAGGGUCAUCCCGAGUGCCGACCGCUGAGGUUGGCUUUUACCCAGUCUAGAAAGCUGGGGGAAUAAGGAGAGGGCAAGUCUGGUGUCAGCCGCCGCGGUAAUACCAGCUCUCCGAGUGGUGUGGACGUUUAUUGGGCCUAAAGCAUCCGUAGCUGGCUGAACAAGUCCCCUGUUAAACCCACCGAUUUAAUCGUUGGCCUGCGGGGGAUACUGCUCGGCUAGGGGACGAGAGAGGCAGACGGUAUUCCCGGGGUAGGGGUGAAAUCCUAUAAUCCCGAGAAGACCACCAGUGGCGAAGGCUGUCUGCUAGAACGCGCCCGACGGUGAGGGAUGAAAGCUGGGGGAGCGAACCGGAUUAGAUACCCGGGUAGUCCCAGCUGUAAACGAUGCAGACUAGGUGUUUGGACGGCCACGUGCCGUUCUAGUGCCGCAGGGAAGCUGUUAAGUCUGCCGCCUGGGGAGUACGAUCGCAAGAUUGAAACUUAAAGGAAUUGGCGGGGGAGCAC
RNAcentral lists this ribosomal RNA (550 nucleotides) under uncultured archaeon. Its description in RNAcentral is "bacterial SSU rRNA". It matches the Rfam family "Archaeal small subunit ribosomal RNA", at positions 327 to 879 of the family's 1478-position model. The record is from RNAcentral.